This 966-nucleotide ribosomal RNA is filed under the name Geastrum smithii. RNAcentral's name for it is "eukaryotic LSU rRNA". It matches the Rfam family "Eukaryotic large subunit ribosomal RNA", at positions 1 to 940 of the family's 3401-position model. Lineage: Eukaryota; Fungi; Basidiomycota; Agaricomycetes; Geastrales; Geastraceae. The record is from RNAcentral.
UUUGACCUCAAAUCAGGUAGGACUACCCGCUGAACUUAAGCAUAUCAAUAAGCGGAGGAAAAGAAACUAACCAGGAUUCCCCUAGUAACGGCGAGUGAAGAGGGAAGAGCUCAAAUUUGAAAUCUGGCAGUCUCAGGCUGUCCGAGUUGUAAUCUAGAGAAGUGUUUUCUGUGCUGGACCGUGUACAAGUCCUUUGGAACAAGGCGUCAUAGAGGGUGAGAAUCCCGUCUACGACACGGACUGCCAGUGCUCUGUGAUACACUCUCAACGAGUCGAGUUGUUUGGGAAUGCAGCUCAAAAUGGGUGGUAAAUUCCAUCUAAAGCUAAAUAUUGGCGAAAGACCGAUAGCGAACAAGUACCGUGAGGGAAAGAUGAAAAGCACUUUGGAAAGAGAGUUAAACAGUACGUGAAAUUGUUGAAAGGGAAACGCUUGAAGUCAGUCGCGUCUUCAGAAACUCAACCUGGCCUCUUGGCCUGGUGUAUUUUUCUGUUGGACGGGCCAGCAUCAGUUUCGGCCACCAGAAAAAGGUGAGGGGAAGGUAGCACUCUCCGGAGUGUGUUAUAGCCCCUCAUCAUAUGUGGUGGCUUGGGACUGAGGGAUUUGCAGCACGCCUUCAAUGGCCGGGGUUCGCCCACGCAACGUGCUUAGGAUGCUGGCGUAAUGGCUUUAAACGACCCGUCUUGAAACACGGACCAAGGAGUCUAACAUGCCUGCGAGUAUUUGGGUGGCAAACCCAUAUGCGGAAUGAAAGUGACUAGUUGGGACUUCUGUCAUGGAAGGCACUGACGCCCGGACCAGACCUAUUGUGACGGAUCCGAGGUAGAGCAUGUAUGUUGGGACCCGAAAGAUGGUGAACUAUGCCUGAGUAGGGUGAAGCCAGAGGAAACUCUGGUGGAGGCUCGUAGCGAUUCUGACGUGCAAAUCGAUCGUCGAACUUGGGUAUAGGGGCGAAAGACUAAUCGAAC